GACAGAGGGUGCAAACGUUGUUCGGAAUUACUGGGCAUAAAGCGCACGUAGGUGGUCCGCUAAGUCGCGUGUGAAAUCCCCCGGCUCAACCGGGGAAAUGCGCGUGAUACUGGCGGGCUUGAGGGCGGGAGGGGUGAAUGGAACUCCAGGUGGAGCGGUGAAAUGCGUAGAUAUCUGGAGGAACACCGGUGGCGAAAGCGGUUCACUGGCCCGACACUGACACUGAGGUGCGAAAGCUAGGGUAGCAAACGGG
Molecule: ribosomal RNA, 253 nt
Filed under: uncultured bacterium
Lineage: Bacteria
Description: partial 16S ribosomal RNA
Rfam family: Bacterial small subunit ribosomal RNA
Source: RNAcentral